RNAcentral lists this ribosomal RNA (387 nucleotides) under Triticum aestivum (bread wheat). RNAcentral describes it as "partial small subunit ribosomal RNA". Lineage: Eukaryota; Viridiplantae; Streptophyta; Magnoliopsida; Poales; Poaceae. The record is from RNAcentral.
AUGGAAAAAAUGGUGGAACCGCCACCUUCUGAAGGUGGCGAGGCAACUAUAACCACAAUGUCAGCUCUUGCUGUAGUGGGUCAGUACUUGUCCACUAACAGUGCCAAAAGUACGUUCCUGCAUAAUACUGGGUUGGUUGUUAAGGCAAUAUCAUCCAAACUGCCUCAUGAUCAAGAUAUGCAAGCUCAAAGCAAUGUUGUAUCUGCGCUCCAGACACAAGUCCAUUCCCUAACAGAGACCCUCUGUGAAACAAGGAGAAACAUUGCUCAAUGUCGUCAAGAUAUGCAUGGUUUUGAAACCAGACUAUCAGACAUUUGCUAUGUUGUUCAGGAGCCUAGGGGAAAUGAAGGCGAGGGUUAUGGUGCUCCAUCAGACAAUACAGCAUGA